AUGGAACCCAUCCACCAUUACCUGCUCAUGUUGCUUUGGAGGUUAUUUUCUGAAAUCAUUGUCUGGACCUUGGUUUACAACUUCACUCCUGAAGCCAGCGAGACCACGAACCCACCGAGAAGAACAAACAACUCCAGAUGUGCUGCAUGUAAGAGCUGUAACACUCACUGCGAAGGUCUGCAGCUUCAUUCGUGUGAGCCAGACCAUGAACCCACUAGAAGGAAGAAGCUCCAGAUACAUCUGAAUGUCGGAAGGAACAAACUCCGGGUAUACCAUCUUUAAGAACUGUAACACUCACCGCGAGGGUCUGUGGCUUCAUUCUUGAAGUCAACAAGACCAAGAAGCCACGAGUUCCAGACACAUGAUGUUCAAGCAAUUCUUGUGCCUCAGCCUCCCAAGUAGUUGGAAUUACAGGUGUGUGCUACCACACUCUGCCUACUGUUGAUUUAUAAAUGGUCAGUUACAAUGAAAUAAAGAGUAAAAGGCAAGUUCAAUAUUGGAAAUUCGCCCAAUUAAAAUUGGACCAUUUAAUAUGAAUUCAUAUAUGUAUAGGAGUAUUUCAGAAGACUAAAGUACAACAAUGGGGAAUGAAACAGUGCUACUGAGAUGAAGUGAAUCAUUUCAGAUCUGGUUUCAGCUGCCCCUGAGCUCUGUAAGGUUACUCUUUAAGAGAAACUGAAAGACUGAAUACAUAGGGCUUUUAAAACUUCUACUGUCACUGCUUGUGUGGUGUCUUGUUUUUGAAAAAUUGCUGAAAGAUUUAUCAAUGUUUUAUCUUAAUCAUAAACUUUCUGAAAAAUCCUAGAGCUAAGUUUGAGAAACAAAAGUUUCUUGAUAAAAUACAGUACCCUCUUGAUAAAAGAUGAAAAAGAAAGAGGUGUAUAUUUGGGAAGGCUGCAGACCCAUUAGGUUAGUUACUUUUCAGGACAAUGUUAAAGGGAAAAAGGUAGUGCUUUCUCUUUAUCUCUAUUGAAAGCGGUGGGGAAAAAGUACAAACUUCCACCGUCGUUAUAGAGCACCUGUUGUGAAAGUAGUUCUUCCUCUUUCCUCUUCUUUCUUUUCUUUUCUUUUCCUUUCUUUCUUUCUUUCUUUCUUUCUUUCUUUCUUUCUUUCUUUCUUUCUUUCUUUUCUUUCUUUCUUUCUUUCUUUCCUUCUUUCCUUUCUUUCCUUUCUUUCCUUUCUUUCCUUUCUUUCUUUCUUUUUUUGAAACACUGGUAGUAUCUUUCACUUUUGUGCUUUAUUUUGUUAUCUUAAUUAAUUCUCUCUAGUUUAUUCAGGGGCUCGAUUUCUAAUUAAGAGUUGUGAAGAGUUACCCUGGAUAGUCCCCUGAUAAUUCUGAGUAAACUUGGACAUCCUUACCUGCUACCAGGAUGUGUAACUACCUUCACCAUAAUGUGCAAGUCUAGUGAGUUAAAGGCUAUUGUUUUUGUCCCAUGAUGAAUAAAUGUCUUUCCUCAAAGUGCUGAUAAAUAACUCCAAUGUAUAUAAUAAUUUUAUCACAAAGCCCUCACAAACAUGAACGUCAGUAUGUGCUGCACUAAAUUAUGUAUUUAAUUAUCUCACACAUACAUGGCUUUCAUGGCUCACUAUGCCCUGGAAAGCAUGGGUUAGCAAAUUUAUCAAAAAAGAAGAUGAGAAAUAGGGACCUAAAAGUAAAACACAAAGUAGAG
This 1670-nucleotide long non-coding RNA is filed under the name Papio anubis (olive baboon). RNAcentral's name for it is "lncRNA (ENSPANG00000043468.1)". Lineage: Eukaryota; Metazoa; Chordata; Mammalia; Primates; Cercopithecidae. The record is from RNAcentral.